RNAcentral lists this ribosomal RNA (431 nucleotides) under uncultured bacterium. RNAcentral describes it as "partial 16S ribosomal RNA". It matches the Rfam family "Bacterial small subunit ribosomal RNA", at positions 29 to 507 of the family's 1533-position model. The record is from RNAcentral.
AACGAACGCUGGCGGCAGGCCUAACACAUGCAAGUCGAGCGCGCCUUCGGGUGAGCGGCGGACGGGUGAGUAACGCGUGGGAAUAUGCCCUUCUCUACGGAAUAGUCCUGGGAAACUGGGGGUAAUACCGUAUACGCCCUUUGGGGGAAAGAUUUAUCGGGGAAGGAUUAGCCCGCGUUGGAUUAGGUAGUUGGUGGGGUAAUGGCCUACCAAGCCGACGAUCCAUAGCUGGUUUGAGAGGAUGAUCAGCCACACUGGGACUGAGACACGGCCCAGACUCCUACGGGAGGCAGCAGUGGGGAAUCUUAGACAAUGGGGGCAACCCUGAUCUAGCCAUGCCGCGUGAGUGAUGAAGGCCUUAGGGUUGUAAAGCUCUUUCAGCUGGGAAGAUAAUGACGGUACCAGCAGAAGAAGCCCCGACUAACUCCGUG